Molecule: ribosomal RNA, 509 nt
Filed under: uncultured eukaryote
Lineage: Eukaryota
Description: SSU rRNA
Rfam family: Eukaryotic small subunit ribosomal RNA
Source: RNAcentral
CAAGAAGAUUUUAGGAUUGACAGAUUGAGAGUUCUUUCUUGAUUGGUCUAGUGGUGGUGCAUGGCCGUUCUUAGUUGGUGGAGUGAUUUGUCUGGUUAAUUCCGUUAACGAACGAGACCUUAACCUGCUAACUAGUAUUAGUAUCCCAAAUACUAACUACUUCUUAGAGGGACUAUGUGAUGUAAUCACAUGGAAGUUUGAGGCAAUAACAGGUCUGUGAUGCCCUUAGAUGUCCUGAGCUGCACGCGUACUACAAUGGCACUUUCAACGAGCAUUUCCUGAUCCGAAAGGAUUUGGGUAAUCUUUUUAGUGAGUGCCGUGAUUGGGAUAGAUCUUUGUAAUUAUGGAUCUUGAACUAGGAAUUCCUAGUAAGCGCGAGUCAUCAGCUCGUGCUGAUUACGUCCCUGCAAAAUGUACACACCGCCCGUCGCUUUUACCGAUUGAGUGCUCAGGUGAACCUUCUCGAUAGUGCAAACUAGAAAUUAAGUAAACCUUAACACUUAGAGGAA